GAAUACUGUGUCAGAGUUCAGUGUUGGAAUAAGUAAUUGGCGAUGGCCGGGGCUCGUUUGGCACUGGAGAAUAAAAUGACCAUGCUGCUGACGCAAGAAUGACCUCGUCCCUGUCACCUCAGCCUUUCGUUUAUGAGUUUCCAGGGCAACGGCCAGACUGGCAGAGAAAGGAGGCUGCUGGUAUCUGGAGAACAAGUUGAUUUAUGCAUUUGAUUGCUAAAACACUUCUCUACUAAGAAUUCAUCCUUUGGAAGCUGAUGACCCUCUUACCUCCACCGGCCGAGUUCUGGAAUCACCGCUGUACAGUUUGGUCUAGCCUAAGGAGCAAGGCAUCAUCGAGCUCUGAAGGAGGUCGGGGUUCCCUUCACAAAUCUAUUGUUUCACACUACCUAGAAAAGAUACAGAAUGUAAAGACACACAGAAGAUAAAUCAGCAAAGCUAUGAUCCACCAUUAUUAAAACAAAAACAUAUCCUUUUUUAAUAGAAAGAAGAUUUUUAUUGAGGUACAGUAUUUCAGAGGACCUCAGGACUCCUUUGGAUGGCCAGAGCAUGUCCAUGGCUCUCAGGAUGGACAUCACUUUUCUUCUGGAUUCCUCCAUGGAUUCUUGUCUGUCUUCUUGCUUUUUCUACUUCUCCCUGAUGGCUGGGAAUGUCCCAGAGAACAACUUUAUGGAUUUCACUUCCUUGUCUGUACCUAUUUCCUUAGUUGUACCAUCCAGGAUUGUGGUUUUAAUACGAAUGCUGACAGCUCAAGGGAGAACUGUUUCCAUGUUCCGAGCCAUGCCGUCAAGACCCAACUGUAUGGGAACUGCCGCAGCAAGUUGAGCGUAAACUGGUGCAGAAGAGAAUGUGCGGUUAAUCGGGUUGUUUUGCUGUUCAAAGCCAUGGGAUACAUUCCUCUGAGUCCUGUGUAGCAUUUUCACAGUGUCAAUGCCCAGCUCGACAGUGGGGUUCCAAACGCCUCUCUGAGUUCCAGACAUGUAAUUCCAUAGCCUGUGAAAUGAUAGUAGAUGUGUUCAAAAUUUCUCCUCUUACUCAUCUCAGAUGAUGUCAACUUGUCACUGUCCAGACCAACAUGCAGGAAGUAUUUGUCUCACUUAGUCCAACCCACGGAGAAUCCUGUUAGCCAAACUUUCAACGCAAACCCAGAAUCUGACCACCUGCAGGAGCACUUGAAAGUCUACCAUCCUUCUCUCAAAUUAUUCAGGUAGUCUUCCAACUGAUCUUCCAUUUUCCACCCUUAUCUAACCUAGUUCUAUUUUGCAUAGAUGAGGCCUCCUAACCUUGUCCAAAUGUCAUGCCAACCACACCACCCCUCUGCUCGACACCCUGCAUGGUGCCUGGAGUCACUUGGGGCAGAACACAGCUUUCCAGCUCCCAGUGAGGUCACACAGCACGGGGGCUGUGGCUGUGACCUCUUAGAGCUCUUCACCCACCGCCCUUCCCUUUCUGUCCCCACUUGAGGCAGCCUGACCCCUUUGACACUUGAUCAAAUGCAGGAGCACACUCCAAUGUCCAGCCCUCCGUGUGAGCUUUCCCUUUCUCUGGGAGGCUCAAACAACUGCACGAUAAAUCAGAUAAGCCACUGCCUUGAACAGAUCUGUGGUACCUCAGCUUCUGGGCCUACCUCCAAGGGAACUCUGGCUUACCCAGGGUUUAUUCAUUUUAGAUUUGAAGCAUUUAUGUUGAGCCUCUGCAUAACAGACAUCUGGAAAUGUGAAGGUGGAUUAUUUCAGAUCACCAUGGUCCCUACACGAAUAACAGAAUAAUUUCCACGCAAUGACAUUAUCCUACUAGGUGACAGUCAAAAUGGAUCACUCUAAUUUCUUGUCUUCCUAUAAGAAAAUAAACUCUUCUCUUACCCUAAA
Molecule: long non-coding RNA, 1868 nt
Organism: Arvicola amphibius (Eurasian water vole)
Lineage: Eukaryota; Metazoa; Chordata; Mammalia; Rodentia; Cricetidae
Exons: 5
Source: RefSeq, a predicted model, not a curated record